RNAcentral lists this ribosomal RNA (491 nucleotides) under uncultured bacterium. Its description in RNAcentral is "partial 16S ribosomal RNA". It matches the Rfam family "Bacterial small subunit ribosomal RNA", at positions 29 to 506 of the family's 1533-position model. The record is from RNAcentral.
AGUGAACGCUGGCGGUAGGCCUAACACAUGCAAGUCGAACGGCAGCACAGUAAGAGCUUGCUCUUACGGGUGGCGAGUGGCGGACGGGUGAGGAAUACAUCGGAAUCUACUUUUUCGUGGGGGAUAACGUAGGGAAACUUACGCUAAUACCGCAUACGACCUACGGGUGAAAGCAGGGGAUCUUCGGACCUUGCGCGAUUGAAUGAGCCGAUGUCGGAUUAGCUAGUUGGCGGGGUAAAGGCCCACCAAGGCGACGAUCCGUAGCUGGUCUGAGAGGAUGAUCAGCCACACUGGAACUGAGACACGGUCCAGACUCCUACGGGAGGCAGCAGUGGGGAAUAUUGGACAAUGGGCGAAAGCCUGACCCAGCCAUACCGCGUGGGUGAAGAAGGCCUUCGGGUUGUAAAGCCCUUUUGUUGGGAAAGAAAAGCAGCAGGUUAAUACCCCGCUGUUCUGACGGUACCCAAAGAAUAAGCACCGGCUAACUUCGU